Chelonoidis abingdonii (Abingdon island giant tortoise) is the source of this 92-nucleotide small nucleolar RNA. The record is from Ensembl. Lineage: Eukaryota; Metazoa; Chordata; Testudines; Testudinidae.
GCUGGUGCACGUGAUGACUGAAGCUUUUUUCCCCAUCAGAGCGACAGUGUUGAUUUCGCUACUCUAAGCCAGAUUGUGUCUGAUGCACCAGU